GGGACUCAGCUGGUUAGAGCGUUCGGUUUACAUCCGAAAGGUCGGGGAGCCUGUCCUGAACUUGAUUCAGGAUUCGAUUCCCUGCUUACCCU
This 92-nucleotide transfer RNA is filed under the name Patescibacteria group bacterium. RNAcentral's name for it is "tRNA-Val". The record is from RNAcentral.